AACUAAAAAGAAAGGUAAAAAUAAAGAAAAGUAAAACUAAUCCUCGUAUGCGUCCCUGUUUCUAUCUAUCAUCCGAGUGUCAUAGUUGAUCAUGGAAUUCGAGACACCAUGAUGCACAAAAAGGCUGAAAUCAGAGAAAUCUAUCCAGUAUGACCUCUCUGCUCUGGACUCCUGAAGGGACUUUGGUCAUGCUAUAGGGUAGGCUGAGAGAAAU
Molecule: long non-coding RNA, 214 nt
Filed under: Lathyrus oleraceus (garden pea)
Lineage: Eukaryota; Viridiplantae; Streptophyta; Magnoliopsida; Fabales; Fabaceae
Description: Pisum sativum (pea) long non-coding RNA (PSAT_LNC005337)
Source: RNAcentral